ACGGAAGGCAGCAGUGGGGGAUAUUGCACAAUGGGGGAAACCCUGAUGCAGCGACGCCGUGUGAGGGAAGAAGGUUUUCGGAUUGUAAACCUCUGUCUUUGGGGACGAUAAUGACGGUACCCAAGGAGAAAGCUCCGGCUAACUACGUGCCAGCAGCCGCGGUAAUACGUAGGGAGCAAGCGUUGUCCGGAAUUACUGGGUGUAAAGGGAGCGUAGGCGGGUUUGCAAGUUGAAUGUGAAAUCUAUGGGCUCAACCCAUAAACUGCGUUCAAAACUGCAGAUCUUGAGUGGAGUAGAGGCAGGCGGAAUUCCUAGUGUAGCGGUGAAAUGCGUAGAUAUUAGGAGGAACACCAGUGGCGAAGGCGGCCUGCUGGGCUCUAACUGACGCUGAGGCUCGAAAGCGUGGGUAGCAAACAGGAUUAGAUACCCUGGUA
This 434-nucleotide ribosomal RNA is filed under the name uncultured Clostridium sp. RNAcentral describes it as "partial 16S ribosomal RNA". It matches the Rfam family "Bacterial small subunit ribosomal RNA", at positions 341 to 792 of the family's 1533-position model. Lineage: Bacteria; Bacillati; Bacillota; Clostridia; Eubacteriales; Clostridiaceae. The record is from RNAcentral.